This 234-nucleotide unclassified non-coding RNA is filed under the name Hevea brasiliensis (rubber tree). The record is from RNAcentral. Lineage: Eukaryota; Viridiplantae; Streptophyta; Magnoliopsida; Malpighiales; Euphorbiaceae.
UCACAGUGUGGAUGAUUGCUCAGGUAACUGGACAAUUUAAUGUUCCCAAAUAUAUGAAUUAGUCUCCUUGGGGCAUGAAUUUUAAAUAUAUGAAUGUGGAUAUUGAUAUGAAAUUGGUCUUAAAAUUAACUUAAUAGCAAAAAAUGAUCCAUAUAAUCGACAUCAACUGGUUUGGGAUUAAAGCUUAAUUGUUGGUGGUGGUGUUGUUGUAGGCAUCCCUAGGAGAUUUGGUAG